Molecule: ribosomal RNA, 2161 nt
Filed under: Cucumis melo (muskmelon)
Lineage: Eukaryota; Viridiplantae; Streptophyta; Magnoliopsida; Cucurbitales; Cucurbitaceae
Also listed under: 1 other name
Description: Bacterial large subunit ribosomal RNA
Rfam family: Bacterial large subunit ribosomal RNA
Source: Rfam by way of RNAcentral
AGUUGAAGAAGAAAGGGUGGUAGGGUCUUUUCUUAUGUUGGCAUUUCUAGAAUCUUGCUUAUACGCGUCUUUCCCUAGAGGUACCACAUUCUACAUUCAUCAUCGGAUAGUCGGACUUCCAAACCUACUAAAAAGAUGAAUUUCAUUUUGAGUAGGCGAGAGUGGUCACGAGGCGCAAAGAAUUUGCGAAUAAAGGCUCAAAGAAUUUGAGUUGAAUUCUGAUCGCUUUUACGCAAGAAAUGGGGACCACCCUUUAAGCCUAAGUAUUCCUCAAUGAUCGAUAACGUACAAUUACCUUGAGGGAAAGGUGAAAAGAACCCUAUUUAGGGAGUGCAAUAGAGAACUUGAGAUCCGAUGCUUUCAAUCAGCCGAAGGAGUGGCAAGCCUUGACUUGAGAUUCUCUCAAUCAAGCUAUCUCACUCUAACGGCAUACCAUUUGCAUGAUGGCCAGCGAGAAAAAGGGAACUGCGACUUAAGCCAUUAGGUAUAGGCACUUUUAAGAGGUGGAAGAUUCUCGUUAUUCCUAUUUGACUCAAAAUCAAUCGAUCUAGACAUGAGCAGGUUGAAGAGAGCUCUAACAGGCCUUGGAGGAUCGAACCCAUGUGUGUGGCAAAAUAUAAGGAUGACUUGUGGCUAGGGGUGAAAGGCCAACCAAGAUCAAAUAUAGCUAAUUUUUCGCAAAAUCUAUUUCAAUAGAGCGUAUGAUGUUGAUGGCCUGAGGUAGAGCACUCAAUGGGCUAGGGUGGCCCCAUUUUGCCUUACCAACCUUAGGGAAACACAGAAUACAGGCCUAGAUUAUUUGUAAAGACAGACUUUUGGGGUGCUAAGAUCCAAAGUCGAGAGGGAAACAACCCAGAUCGUACGCUAAGGUCCUUAAGCAACCACUUAGUGGAAAAGGAAGUUCUCGAGCGAUGACAACCAGGAGGUGGGCUUGGAAGCAGCCAUCCUUUAAAGAAAGCAUAAUAGCUCCCUGGUCUAGCUCCAUGGCACCAAAAAUGUCUUGGGGCUCAAGUGAUUCACCGAAGGGAUGAGACCUUAAAAGCACGCUUUUUUAAUUGUCAAUAGCGGGACGUUUUGUCAAUCGGAGAAGGUUUUUGGUGACAAGACCUGGAGAUAUCAAAAGUGAGAAUGUUGACAUGAGUAACGAGAAAUCUUGUCAAAAACAAAAUUGCCUGUCAGUGGAAGGCUUUCUGCGUUCAAUCAAUCUACCCAGAAUGAAUCGGUCUCUAAGGAACCCCCAAAAGGGUUAUCGUCAGAUGCAUACACAAAAGUGAUGAAGUAGCUUUGACUAUAGAACAAUGCGUGUCUGUUAAAGCGAAUAGGAUGACUAGGCCGAGGGCAGCCCCUUUUCCCCUCUCUCCUUUCCCACUCUGUAGGAUUCACCUUGAGUCAUCGAAGUCUUUCUGACUCGGCCUAGUCCGAUCGCCCUACACGAUAGACACGACCAAAAGGCGAAAUUCUCAUUUCCGAAUGUGCGAUUUCGUUUUUGAAUUUCUUGUUCAGCCUCACGAGUCUACAAGCCUUUCUCAUUCUAGUGCUCGCCUUUGAGUAGGGGUCCCAAGAGAGCGUACCGCCAUAGUCAUGAGUCUGUUUAUAGUUGCGACUCUUGUCAUAGUGAACAAGGUUUCAAUUUUCAAGACAAAACUUCUUUUUGGGAGGGCGAUCCUCCUAGUGAACUGACCGUACCCCAAACCGACACAGAUGAACAAGUAGAGUAUACUAAGGCGCUUGAGAGAACUAUGUUGAAGGAACUCGACAAAAUGACCCCGUAACUUCGAGCAAAAGGGUGCUCUCUUAUUUUUUCCUUAGGAAAGUCGCACAUACCAGGGGGUAGGGACUAUUUAUUAAAAACACAAGACUCUGCCAAGUGGUAACACAAUGUAUAGAGUCUGACACCUGCUAAUGCUGAAAGGUCGAAAGGAGAAGUGUGAUAAGCUUUGAAUGGAAGCCCUGGUAAACAGAGGCAGUAACUUUAACUGUCCUAAGGUAGUGAAAUUACUUAUCGCAUAAGUAGCGACCUACACAAAUGGUUUCACAACUGCCCCGCUAUCUCCGACAUGGACUGGGUGAAAUUAAUUUUUUCAUGAAGAUGAGAAGUACCAAUAGAACUGAUCUGGUCUUUAAUGUUGGGUGGAAAAAAUGAAAAAUGAGCUUUAAUGUC